Molecule: ribosomal RNA, 309 nt
Filed under: uncultured Spirochaetaceae bacterium
Lineage: Bacteria; Pseudomonadati; Spirochaetota; Spirochaetia; Spirochaetales; Spirochaetaceae
Description: bacterial SSU rRNA
Rfam family: Bacterial small subunit ribosomal RNA
Source: RNAcentral
GGGUUAAGUCCCGCAACGAGCGCAACCCCUACUGCCAGUUAACUAACAGGUAAUGCUGAGGACUCUGGCGGAACUGCCCGGUGACAAAACCGGAGGAAGGUGGGGAUGACGUCAAGUCAUCAUGGCCCCUAUGUCCAGGGCUACACACGUGCUACAAUGGGCGAUACAGAGUGACGCGAAGCCGCGAGGUGGAGCAAAUCGCAGAAAAUCGCUCUCAGUUCGGAUUGGAGUCUGAAACCCGACUCCAUGAAGGUGGAAUCGCUAGUAAUCGCGCAUCAGCAUGGCGCGGUGAAUACGUUCCCGGGCCUU